This 5095-nucleotide long non-coding RNA is filed under the name Malus domestica (apple). RNAcentral's name for it is "long non-coding RNA (MDOM_LNC013390)". Lineage: Eukaryota; Viridiplantae; Streptophyta; Magnoliopsida; Rosales; Rosaceae. The record is from RNAcentral.
CGUACUGUGCAAAUGGUUACGUCACUCUCACGUGACGGCCAGCAUGCCCUCCUUCGGGACGGGGUGUGUCAAUUUUGGUUUGAGUUGAGUGUAUUUGAUGCGAGUUAACACAGAUGCCAUGUUGUUAAUUCGGUUUUAGCGUCUUGCAAAUGGUACCAUGAAUUCCUUUAUGUAGAUGCCAUACACUAGGUUUCAUGCGGUCUCUUAAGUAGUUCUCAAAUUGUUAAUGAACUCGUGUGUGUUUAGUAAUCUAGAUGCCAUAGAUUGUUAGCACAUAUGAGCAUACAUAGUAAUCUAAAUGCCAUGGAUACUAUAUGAAUUAGAGGAACUAGACCGUCAAUUUGGAUGAUUACUCAUUAAUAAUUGACUAUAGGAAUUGAGUUGGAUUGGUUAUGGUGAAUCGGAUGCUCUAGUGUCUUUCGCAAUUGAUUUAUAAUUUGAUUUCUUUGUUGUUCUUGUAAACUUUAUGUGGUUAUAUAAUUAAAACACAAACGAAGGAAUUUUAGCUGACCUGAUCAUGAAGCGAUAGCCAUUGGAGAUCAAACGAAGAAGAUGAAGGAUGCGGCAACACCAAAGUCUUCUACAAAGCACCUAGCUGGAUACAACUACUUUAUGGGAAGUGUUUGUUGUGUCUCUAGGGUUUGCAGGGACCUUGGUAUUUAUAUUGGCUAGGGCAUUAAGGUUCCAUCCAUAAAGGAAUCCCAAAUCCCACUUUUUAGCCUAUCAGUUAGGUAUCAUAAUCACAUAAAAUCAAGGACUCCAUUAAUCUUACUUGUAUUACAAGACACCUAAUAUAAGAUUGAUAUCUUUAGGAAAUAAAUCACAAUAUCUACAUUAAUCUCCAAUAUUACAUUCCUAUUAUAUAUUGUAGACCAUUUAAGGUUGAUUUACAUCGGAAUAAAUCCAACAUUCUCCCACUGGUCUACACAUAUAAUAUUUAUGUUUAUACUUGAAAUUGGAGAUUAAUGUCACUUUAAUGGCCAUGUAGUUGUGAUAACAUCAUAUCCUUGAUACAAGUUUCUGUCAAAUAAGUCUUUCAACAUGGAACUAACAAGGUUGUAAGGUUGACACAACCUAAAACCUUCAUAAUCACACAUGCUAAAAUCCUCAUCCACAUGAAACACCGUCAAAUUAUGAUUGCAAAGAUGAACUUUAAUUACCUGAAUGUGUCUCAACUUUUAUCAUCUCAGGUCCUCUUUCAUGCAAACUUUUACUGCAGUUGCAAACAAAAACUUCAUAAAACAUAAUUAAUUCAACACCUACGAGCAAGAUGAAUUAACAUGUUUUUGACACUAGUUCAUAUACCAUAUUAGUUACUUUCGUGAGAGAAUUUUUCAACACUUAUGAGCAAGAUGAAAAAACUCUUACAACUAAUACAACAUAUAAAUCAUGUCAUGCCAUUUUAAGUCGAACCAAAAGAAUUAAUCCACACCUACGAGCAAGAAGAUUAACCAUCCCUUUAUGACUUAAAAUGCAAUUUGCUUAACUGGAUAUCAGAUAUAUCAUCAUCUGAUAAUUGACCAACACAUAAACAUGUGACUACAUGAAUCCAACUAGAGAUUAAACUGAAUAAAUGGAUUCAAUCAAUCAUACAUACCUUAUAGGUCAUCUGCAAAUGUAAGGCAUCAAUUACAUGAAACUCAAGCUCCCACUUAUUUGCAACAUCGUCACUUAAUUUGCAAAUCACUACUUAAAUCAUACUUUUGAAAUAUGCUUGUGGGAACACCCUUACUUAGUCAAUGAAUGCAUAUCACUACAAAAUUGUCUUUCUUUAACCUUUCCUUAACACCUUAAAUAGCAUAAUCUCGAUGAAAGGUAAAACUAAGACAUUCACCGCUGUUUGUACAAAACCAUGCAUUUCACAACCAUCUAUUUGCAUUAAUAAUUCCAUAUUUGCGCUAAGUCCCCACGAGCCUCAAAAUUCUUUCUAAAGAUUAACAAAUAAUCAAUCAAGGCAUCCAAAUGAUUUCAAGUAAAAAUAUACACAUACCCCAAGUACUCAUUCUGCAACUUAAACAUAUUAUUGUCAUUCGAGUCAUGGCAUAAUUCUAAUUUCAUCAACCAAAACACAUAUUCAUGGAAGAUAGAAUAACACUUUAUGCUAGUCCACUUAAUGCUCAAAACUCUAAACUUUUAGAGUUUAUACACUUAUUGCAAAUAAGUUAAUAAGUGUGAAGCCCAAUUUUCUUUCACUUAUUCUCCCACUUGGGCAAACACUCAUUCAUAUAUUCUUUCAAGGAUGUACCUAAACAAAUUUUCUUCAUAUUUUAGACAUAAUUAAAUAGACAUCACAACCAACAUAAAGUUAUCAAAAGAAUUUCAGCAAUGAGUUACACUUACUUUAGAAUUUAUCAUAAUUAAUUUACAAGCUUAAUUGCUACCAAAAUUUUACAGAUCAAAAUAGACAUACUAAUCUUCAUAAAAUAAAAAUAUAGGGCCAUUUUAAGUAAAACUAAUUGUCUAAAAUGACGUCUCAAAAAAAACAAAAAACAAUCUGCCAGAAAAACUGUCUGUACGGUAUGGGUUACUAGUAAAUUCACCAUAAUUAUACUACAUGGCAAAAAUUUACGAAAAUUUGCAGACACAUAAUAGACAUAUAUAUGUUGAACAUAUAAAAAAUUCAGGUCGUUUGGUGAUCAUUAGACGUAUCAUUCACUCAAUUUAAAUCAAGACAUGCAAUCUGCCAGAAACAAUCAUGUGCAUCUAUCAUGAAUUUAUACAUCCAUAACAAUUCAAUUUCAUAUCAUUUCAAUUUCGAUGUCCAAGGGAAACUCUAGUAGUCAAAUUUCAUCAUCUAAAACGACAUCAUAUUUCAAAUUGAAAAGAUUUACAAGCAUAAGACUUAAAUAAUGUGUACCUUAGCAAUCCUUGAUUAACCUUCAUGGGUCCAAUACUUUGCAUCAACAAGUCUCAUGAAUAGACACAAAAUAUGUUAUGAUGCAACCGAUUUCCAUGCCUUAAAACCACAACCUAUUAUGGGGCUCAUAGUGGGAUUUUGUAACUGAUGGCAUGGAACUUUAUCCCCAAUAAACUUCAUGAAACUAGAUUAAUUUACACCUACGGGCAAGCAAAUUAAUUAGUUUCUAGUACUGAAUUAUAUGUCACAAGAGUUACCUUCAUAAAAAACUUCAACACCUACGGGCAAGAUGAAGUUUUCACAAACUCCUGUGAAAUAAAACCCAUACUAUGCCAUCUUAAUUAAAACAAAGGAAACGAUCCACACCUACGGGCAAGAAGAUUAUCCCUUUUAUUCUAAUUAAGAUGCAACGCUGAUCAAAGUAACUUAAAACCAUAGUCCCAGCAUCAACUAAGCCGCUACGGCUUGCUUAGUUGACAAGACAUUGAUCAUCUCCAGCCUAAAACAAUACAAACGUCACAUGGAUUAAUUAGCUGUAAGUGAUAAAAUUAUGAUAACAUGAUUCAAGCUUCGAGUCUUGCCAACAAAUGGCCUUAAUUUAAUAAUUUCCUUCAUGACUCCCUUCGAUAUCCAAUUAAUCUCAAAAAAACCUGACAACAUACUUGAAAGGAGAUUAAUCACAUAUAGAUCAGUUGUAUAAGAGCUAUAAUAUCAAUCUCACAAGGAUAUCAACACGUAUGAGAAAACAUGAUGGAGCUAAUAGAUUCAAAAUGGAAACACUUUAAACAAUAUAGUCGCUUUUAAUUCAAAAGCCAAAUUGUGAUAUCACUUAAAUGCUCUCUUAAGUCAAACGAGUUCCUUUCCUUUUGUACCUUUAUUUCUGUAGUACAAGACUCCUAAAACAUUAGCUUCACAAUCGUGCAUUAGCCUUGUAAAUACCAAAUUAAGCAAAGGAACAACCAAAAAUUCUUUUCUUCCAAAAGAAAAAACCCCAAUACAUGCCAUACAUUAGCCUUGAAUAAUUUCUUUUCUUCUCCCCUUAUGGCACAUAAAAUUGACUCAUCAAAACAUUGUUUAAAUUCUUUAGGCAUAGGAAAAACUAACAAACCAUAUACAAGUUUGAAAACUUAUGCUUAUCAAUUUUAGUCAUAUGCUUUGAAUGAAAUACAUACCGCAUGCCUUCAUAUGUUCACCACUUCUUUAUAAACAUAUAUAUAAUCACAUGGCCAACCAUAAUUCUCAUAUAAAUAGAUAAAAUACAAAUGAGAAUUGUCACAUAAUUACUGCAUACCUCAUUCAUUUGUAUAAUGUUCUUGUUCUUGUUCUUGCCACUGGAUGCUUUAUGUCAUUCUCAGUCAAUCCACAAAUUAUGCAUCAAUUUCAUAGUUAACUAGUCAUGUACAAUUAAAUGACUAUACUGAGAUAAGAAAGCAAAAUUGUAGACAAAACUAAUUUUGGUUAGUCAUGCAGAUUCCUUAUGGAGUUAAUAUGACAUUAAACAUUACUUGAAUUAAUCCCCAGUCAUACCCAAGUACGAGUACAUAGUGUAUAUAUUCUGGACAUAACAAUAAUUUUACUGCAUUAUUAAUGCUAAUCUGCCAGAUUUAUCAUAUAUUUGUGUCUUUGCAUAGGAUCAUCUCAAGCAAUAUAGGACAAUCCAAUCCCCUUAAAAAGAAAUAUACCAUAUGUCAUUUUACUACAUGUUUGCAAAACUUAAAAUUUUAAUCCAUAUUGAUUAUUUCCAACAACAACCAAUGACAUGGCUAUUACAUUCGGUCUAUAUAUAUUUCCUACACAUUAUCAUGUAACACAACUGAAUGAAAAUAUUUCCAUGAAUUCAUAUUACCCAUAAAAAAUAGAGCAAUAGACUUACUCAUGUACUAGUGCCGAAACACCCAGACUAUUUUGACAUAAUAUAGUCUAAAAAACAAGUAAAAUAAUUUAUGCAUAUUUACAUAUGCUUCUCGGUAGGCUUUUCAUAUGCAAAUAAGAAUUUAUCAUGUUCAAAGCAUAUAUUUUCUCUUUGUUAUAAUUAUCAAGUUCAAAACUUAAUAAUCAAAACUAACCAUAUGUAUGAUCGACUGUUUCGUACUUGACAUAUAUAAUGAUCAACACCAUUCACUUUGAUAGAGGACUUUACCGAGCUUGCUGAGUUGAGACGCUUGGGAGGUGACGUCCAUGACUUGUCUUCCGUUGGACGACGUUGUCUUUAUGCCUCGGCACGGUUUGUUGGCUUUA